GAUCUCGAUACAGUACAUAUAUAGUGACAUGUUGGAAAACUGAAGCUUGUAGACUGUCAUGGUCAUGGAUUUGUGGAUACUUAGUAAUUUCUCAGAAAUAUUGGAAAAGUAAAGGGAAGACCGUACUGGAUUCCCCAUUCCAUGUUGUGCUUUUGCAAGUUUCCGGACCAUUCUACAGCCAUAGUAGAAUUAUCAUCAUCCUAAAGUAGAGCAGAUUCAUUCUACGCCUCACAUGAAACCAUAAUGUUGGCUGAGGAAAAUAAGAUGGAUUUACCCUUCCAUUUCAAACAUGUCACCAUCUCCACCACUGGGUGGUGGGACGAGGUACAAAGCACCACAUUCAAUUUUCCUUUAGCUGGCAUAUUAAAUACCACUUGUGAUCAUCUCACAGAAAAAAUAUACCCCGAACUCCAAGACCAACAUCUCCACGAUGCAAGCGUGGAAUAUAUGUAAUUGUUGACAAAUCUUUCAAAGAAACAGAUGGCAUGAAAGCAAAAGCACCACUAGAUCAAAGGAGUACCCUACACUGUUAUUGCAGAAACUUUUCUUUUGAUGUAAUUGAUGGCGUACUAAGAAAUUUCUAAACUUUUUGAUCAUCCCAACAGCUUCUGCUUUGGAAAUUUGCUAAACAAUGCAGAGUGCCAGAACUCUUUUGCAAGAAAUCUUUAUGAACAAUUUUAUAAUGCCAGUGAGAGUAGGUUAAUUCUAUUGAUUAGUCCAAAAUCUACAAAGGAAGUUGAGGUCAUCGAUUUUUCGCUGUCCCAGCUGCGCCUCUCGGGUGCAGUAGUAUUGGAGUGCAGUGAUGUCAUAGGAGAUGAGCCGUCAAUAAGACGGGCCGGUUGGUGCACUGUGGGCUGCUGCUUGUGGUCAAACGUGAACAGAAGA
This 885-nucleotide long non-coding RNA is filed under the name Elaeis guineensis (African oil palm). Its description in RNAcentral is "long non-coding RNA (EGUI_LNC062390)". The record is from RNAcentral. Lineage: Eukaryota; Viridiplantae; Streptophyta; Magnoliopsida; Arecales; Arecaceae.